Molecule: ribosomal RNA, 1570 nt
Filed under: Salinivibrio kushneri
Lineage: Bacteria; Pseudomonadati; Pseudomonadota; Gammaproteobacteria; Vibrionales; Vibrionaceae
Description: bacterial SSU rRNA
Rfam family: Bacterial small subunit ribosomal RNA
Source: RNAcentral
AAAUUGAAGAGUUUGAUCAUGGCUCAGAUUGAACGCUGGCGGCAGGCCUAACACAUGCAAGUCGAGCGGAAACGGCAGCAUUGAAGCUUCGGUGGAUUUGCUGGACGUCGAGCGGCGGACGGGUGAGUAACGGCUGGGAACCUGCCCUGACGAGGGGGAUAACCGUUGGAAACGACGGCUAAUACCGCAUAAUGUCUUAGUUCAUUACGAGCUGGGACCAAAGGUGGCCUCUACAUGUAAGCUAUCGCGUUGGGAUGGGCCCAGUUAGGAUUAGCUAGUUGGUAAGGUAAUGGCUUACCAAGGCGACGAUCCUUAGCUGGUUUGAGAGGAUGAUCAGCCACACUGGGACUGAGACACGGCCCAGACUCCUACGGGAGGCAGCAGUGGGGAAUAUUGCACAAUGGGGGAGACCCUGAUGCAGCCAUGCCGCGUGUGUGAAGAAGGCCUUCGGGUUGUAAAGCACUUUCAGCAGUGAGGAAGGUGGUGCACUUAAUACGUGCAUGGCUUGACGUUAGCUGCAGAAGAAGCACCGGCUAACUCCGUGCCAGCAGCCGCGGUAAUACGGAGGGUGCGAGCGUUAAUCGGAAUUACUGGGCGUAAAGCGCAUGCAGGCGGUUUGUUAAGUCAGAUGUGAAAGCCCGGGGCUCAACCUCGGAACCGCAUUUGAAACUGGCAGGCUAGAGUCUUGUAGAGGGGGGUAGAAUUUCAGGUGUAGCGGUGAAAUGCGUAGAGAUCUGAAGGAAUACCAGUGGCGAAGGCGGCCCCCUGGACAAAGACUGACGCUCAGAUGCGAAAGCGUGGGUAGCAAACAGGAUUAGAUACCCUGGUAGUCCACGCCGUAAACGCUGUCUACUUGGAGGUUGAGGUUUAAGACUUUGGCUUUCGGCGCUAACGCAUUAAGUAGACCGCCUGGGGAGUACGGCCGCAAGGUUAAAACUCAAAUGAAUUGACGGGGGCCCGCACAAGCGGUGGAGCAUGUGGUUUAAUUCGAUGCAACGCGAAGAACCUUACCUACUCUUGACAUCCAGAGAACUUUCCAGAGAUGGAUUGGUGCCUUCGGGAACUCUGAGACAGGUGCUGCAUGGCUGUCGUCAGCUCGUGUUGUGAAAUGUUGGGUUAAGUCCCGCAACGAGCGCAACCCUUAUCCUUGUUUGCCAGCACGUAAAGGUGGGAACUCCAGGGAGACUGCCGGUGAUAAACCGGAGGAAGGUGGGGACGACGUCAAGUCAUCAUGGCCCUUACGAGUAGGGCUACACACGUGCUACAAUGGCAGAUACAGAGGGCAGCGAAGCUGCGAAGUGGAGCGAAUCCCUUAAAGUCUGUCGUAGUCCGGAUUGGAGUCUGCAACUCGACUCCAUGAAGUCGGAAUCGCUAGUAAUCGUGGAUCAGAAUGCCACGGUGAAUACGUUCCCGGGCCUUGUACACACCGCCCGUCACACCAUGGGAGUGGGCUGCACCAGAAGUAGAUAGCUUAACCUUCGGGAGGGCGUUUACCACGGUGUGGUUCAUGACUGGGGUGAAGUCGUAACAAGGUAGCCCUAGGGGAACCUGGGGCUGGAUCACCUCCUUA